This 301-nucleotide ribosomal RNA is filed under the name uncultured bacterium. Its description in RNAcentral is "partial 16S ribosomal RNA". It matches the Rfam family "Bacterial small subunit ribosomal RNA", at positions 509 to 809 of the family's 1533-position model. The record is from RNAcentral.
CAGUCGCCGCGGGAAUACGUAGGGUGCGAGCGUUAAUCGGAAUUACUGGGCGUAAAGCGUGCGCAGGCGGUUUUGUAAGACAGGCGUGAAAUCCCCGGGCUCAACCUGGGAAUGGCGCUUGUGACUGCAAAGCUAGAGUGCGGCAGAGGGGGAUGGAAUUCCGCGUGUAGCAGUGAAAUGCGUAGAUAUGCGGAGGAACACCGAUGGAGAAGGCAAUCCCCUGGGCCUGCACUGACGCUCAUGCACGAAAGCGUGGGGAGCAAACAGGAUUAGAGACCCCUGUAGUCCCUGUCUCUUAUAA